RNAcentral lists this ribosomal RNA (464 nucleotides) under uncultured bacterium. Its description in RNAcentral is "bacterial SSU rRNA". It matches the Rfam family "Bacterial small subunit ribosomal RNA", at positions 28 to 490 of the family's 1533-position model. The record is from RNAcentral.
GAUGAACGCUGGCGGCGUGCUUAACACAUGCAAGUCGAACGAAACACCUUAUUUGAUUUUCUUCGGAACUGAAGAUUUGGUGAUUGAGUGGCGGACGGGUGAGUAACGCGUGGGUAACCUACCUUGUACAGGGGGAUAACAGUCAGAAAUGACUGCUAAUACCGCAUAAGACCACGGCACCGCAUGGUGCAGGGGUAAAAACUCCGGUGGUACAAGAUGGACCCGCGUCUGAUUAGCUGGUUGGUGAGGUAACGGCUCACCAAGGCGACGAUCAGUAGCCGGCUUGAGAGAGUGAACGGCCACAUUGGGACUGAGACACGGCCCAAACUCCUACGGGAGGCAGCAGUGGGGAAUAUUGCACAAUGGGGGAAACCCUGAUGCAGCGACGCCGCGUGAGUGAAGAAGUAUCUCGGUAUGUAAAGCUCUAUCAGCAGGGAAGAAAAUGACGGUACCUGACUAAGAAG